RNAcentral lists this transfer RNA (63 nucleotides) under Rattus norvegicus (Norway rat). It matches the Rfam family "tRNA". From Rfam's summary of the family: Transfer RNA (tRNA) molecules are approximately 80 nucleotides in length. Their secondary structure includes four short double-helical elements and three loops (D, anti-codon, and T loops). The record is from Rfam by way of RNAcentral. Lineage: Eukaryota; Metazoa; Chordata; Mammalia; Rodentia; Muridae.
GGGGAUUUAGCUCAGUGGUAGAGUGCUUGCCUAGCAUGUGCAAGGCCCUGGGUUCAGUCCCCA